RNAcentral lists this ribosomal RNA (459 nucleotides) under uncultured bacterium. RNAcentral's name for it is "partial 16S ribosomal RNA". It matches the Rfam family "Bacterial small subunit ribosomal RNA", at positions 338 to 795 of the family's 1533-position model. The record is from RNAcentral.
CCUACGGGAGGCAGCAGUGAGGAAUAUUGGUCAAUGGGAGAGAUCCUCAACCAGCCAAGCCGUGUGAGGGAAGACGGCCCUAUGGGUUGUAAACCUCUUUUGUCGGAGAACAAAACCCGGGACGAGUCCCGGACUGCGUGUAUCCGAAGCAAAAGCAUCGGCUAACUCCGUGCCAGCAGCCGCGGUAAUACGGAGGAUGCGAGCGUUAUCCGGAUUGAUUGGGUUAAAGGGGUGCGUAGGCGGUCUGUAAAGUCAUCGGUAAAAUUGCGGGGCUAAACCCCGGCGAGCAGUUGAAACUGGCAGACUUGAGUGGGCGAGAGGUACGAGGAAUGCGCGGUGUAGCGGUGAAAUGCAUAGAUAUCGCGAAGAACUCCGAUUGCGAAGGCAGCGUACCGGCGCCAGACUGACGCUGAGGCACGAAAGCGUGGGGAUCGAACAGGAUUAGAUACCCCUGUAGUC